GCACCCAUAGCUCAGUGGAAGAGCGGUUGCCUUACACGCAAUAGGUCGUGUGUUCGAACCACACUGGGUGUA
This is a transfer RNA of Fistulifera solaris, 72 nucleotides long. It matches the Rfam family "tRNA". Rfam says of the family: Transfer RNA (tRNA) molecules are approximately 80 nucleotides in length. Lineage: Eukaryota; Bacillariophyta; Bacillariophyceae; Naviculales; Stauroneidaceae. The record is from Rfam.